UAGCAAGGCCAGUUAUGAAAAUGUAUCCAAGAAGGUUGAUAUGAUAUUAUAACACAAGUCCAAUGAUUUUUCUUUUUGUUUGUAGAUGAUGAGAAUUAUAACGCUGAUAAAAUUCCUAAUUUGGCUUCAUUUCCAGUGGAUUCCAGAGUUGAAACAUUAUGCGCCUGGGGUCCCAAUUGUUCUCGUUGGAACAAAGCUUGGUAAAAUUUUCUUUGUUGGUGUAUCAAAAUAAAGCAUGCUAUUUUCUUAGAUUUGCUGAUCUUUUCAUGGAGUUUCAGGACAAUAUUCGUACGCUUAUUUGUCAUUUUCUUUUCCCUUUGUAUAUACUUUUUUCUUUUUUAAAACAAUCUGCGAUGAUUUGGUGUUGUCAACUUCUUUUGUUCAAGAUUCCUAAUAUCUGAAAAUUUUUGAGUUUAAUUGACUUUAGCAUGAUCAUCUGAUGGUUAAAUAAUCUGCUAUGCAUAAUUUGCUUAUAUUUAUUGUCUGUAUAUGCUCUUCAGGUAGUUCAUUAUUCCAUAUUAAUGAUUUUGAUGCAGAUGUGAUUAGGAAUGCAUGUCAUGCAUGUUCUUGUUGAGCCACUUACACUGGACAUUUUCAUUCUUUCUUUCUUCUCCUUUUCUGUGUAAUUGAGUAGAUGAAUUCUGAUAUCUAUGCUUUUGCAAUUUGCUUCAUGGCCAAUAUUUUGAGGUCCAACUUAUACAGACUUCUUGUUGAGUAAUCAAUUUUCUGAUUCAUGGGUAAAAAGAUUUAAGUUGCUCAUCAUAGCAUAAUAUAACACAAUUUUCAUUGUGACUGACAUUUGACAGCAUGAGAAAAGGUCGCUUGGUAGAAAUAAUAAACAAAGGUUUUCAUAGCUGAUUAAUUGGUGGAUGUUAUGGGUUUUAAUAAGGGUCAUUACCUUGUAUUUUUGGAUGUUGACAUCGUGGAAAAGACAAUUUCUAGUAGAGAAUGAUUACUGGUUUAGUGUGGAGAGUCAUAUUUUUAGGUAUGACUAUAGAAACAUUGGGGAUUAUCAUUUAGAUGUAUUGAGGGCAACUGUAUAUUUGAUUACUCAAGCCUGACAUGUUUGAAGUCCACUUUGAUGGGGCAUUACUAAUGCCUUAAAAAUUUUGAUAUUGUAUAAGCUUAAUUUUAGCUUAUAUCCUGGCCUAAACAAGGCUUGAUCACUGAGUAAUUUGUGGUGCCUUUAUAUGUACUAUCAGCCUUGCUGACAGAUUAUUGAAGUAAACUUGUAUAAAAUUCUCUUUCAUUAUAAUUUUACGUGUUUUUCCCUUCGUAAAGGUUUUACCUGAUUAUCUUUAAUUUGCUAUUUUCAUUUUUAUUACCUGUUUGUUUAGCCAGGGAGCAUUCUAUUCAGAAUAUUCAUUUAGAGAUGUUAUUUUGAGUUGGUCCUCACUUUUUCUGUGUUUUUCCAAUGAGCCAGAUCUCCGGGAUGAUAAGCAGUUCUUUAUAGACCACCCUGGUGCUGUACCCAUUACUGCAGCUCAGGUAAAGAUUUAUGCCUCAUGUUCUGACAUCAUAUUUGUAUAUCAAUUGAGCAUUAUCCUGAAGUAUUUGUUUCCCAUUUCAUAACCAUUAUUAUCAUUACGUUUUACUUAAAAGGGAGAGGAACUGAGGAAGCUGAUUGGUGCACCUGCUUAUAUUGAAUGCAGUUCAAAAACACAGCAGGUGUAUAAAUUUUCCAGCAGACAUUUUAUUGUCUUUUGAUUGAUGUUGGUCUUUUCAAUUAUAUAGAAUUUGUUAUCUUCUUCCUGUAGAAUGUGAAGGGAGUUUUCGAUGCAGCCAUCAGAGUUGUCCUUCAGCCACCUAAGCAGAAGAAAAAGAAGAAUAAAGGACAAAAAGGGUGUUCCAUAUUGUGAUUGAAAUGAGGAAGUUAAUGGCCUCUUAGCUACCAUAUUCCCCUUUUUCUGUUCUCAUUGCUCUUAAAGAAGCUCAAUUAUUCUCCCAACAGAGUAAUUAGGAUCUCUGUGAAGCAUCAGGUGGUUUGGUAUUGCUUUCUUGGAUUAUUGUGGAUGUCUAAUUGUUGAAUUUGGUUAUGUAAUUGCCCACCUCCUUCUCUUACGUCCCGGUUUUGAUAUGUUUUAUGUAUUAAUAGACUGGAAUAUCCCAGUUAGGAAAACAACCUUGCCUCACAUGGAUUCUAUCUAUUCGUUUCAUUUCAAGGGCUUGGCUGUGUUGUGCUCUCAAUUUCAUGCUCAGAUUUUAGCAGCUUGCUAAUUUCUGAUAAAAAUUGUAGGUUCCUUCAAUCAGUAUCAUUUAUUUUUGUCAUUAUUCUAUUUUUGCUCGUCAAAUAAAUAGUUGAAGACUCUCUGCAGGGCUUAUCAACACGAGUCUUUGCUUGGAAUUUUAAUUAUUUCUUCAAAUUUUAAACUUUGUGAUGGUUCUGAUUAUAUUCACUUUUCAAUGGAUUUUAUUGUUUGAACAGAACGUGAACAUGGUGCGUAUCCCAUAUUUCUCAUCCAAUUUUUUAAAAAAUAGGAAUUGUUAGGAAUAUAGACACGGGUAUAUGUUGGGGGUUUUGUUAGGGGUUUUGUGCUUGAACAAUGAAAUAUUGGAUAAAUAUGUUUAAGGUUUGAAGUAUAUUAUUCUGUAAUUCAAACAAUUGUUAUCAUUAUUGAAAUGGUAAUAUUAUAUUUUCAGAUUUAAUGGAAUUUCAUUUUUG
This 2662-nucleotide unclassified non-coding RNA is filed under the name Hevea brasiliensis (rubber tree). Lineage: Eukaryota; Viridiplantae; Streptophyta; Magnoliopsida; Malpighiales; Euphorbiaceae. The record is from RNAcentral.